CGAUUGCACUCGCAAUAAUCAGUGCACGUGUAUGGCACUGACGUUCUUGGCCUACCAUGCUGAGGGGUUUCAUUUUGAUGCAGACGUUCUUGACAGAGUUCUUGAAAAUGGAGACUCACUCUAUGCGUGGACAAUAUGUGGGCUAGGACUACGUUUAAUCAGCAAUCAUUUAACCAAAGAGGAAAUGCCAAAGAUAGUUCACACCGACAACAAUGCAUACACAGUUACACAGUUGGAGCCGAAAUUUGGUUUGGUGAGGGAUCGCAGCAAUUCCCUAAUAGAUCCUUAUUUGUUGCCACUUGCCAGACAACUUGAGUGCCUCUCACAAGAUGUCACUCAUGCUUUUCUGAUUGUGGCUCCAGAGUGCUUUGCGGUUUUUCGUGAUAGGUCAGGAUGCUAUGGUUUUUUUGAUUCGCACAGUCGAUCUUCAGUAGGUUUGCCAGUCCCAAACGGAACUGCGAUUAUGAUGACAUUUUCACACUUAGAUGACUUAGUCGACCAUGUGCAUGAGCUCCUUUCGGAUCGCAGCCCCGAUGCGAACUACGAGUUGGUACCGGUUUCCUUUGGAUUAGAACAGAUAGCAAGUGACAGACAGGUACAGUUGGAUGUCGUAGUCAUUUCAGAGCCCACCAAAGUAACAGACGCAGCAAUAAGAGAAUGUGUUGAGACAGAUCAAGAGGAGCUGAUAGUACCACCAUGCGUCCAUGUUCAAAUAGAUUUUUCCAAAGUGAGUAAAACGAGGCGACGGACCGCUAUGAAAAGGGCACUAAAGUGCCAACAAUGUAGACCGUUUGAAGCUUCAAAAGAACCCGAUCCCCGUCAAAAAAAACGUCUACAAAUGAAGGUCAAGUAUGUAACAGACACUAAUUACCGCCAACAAAAAUUAAACAGCUUUACCACGCGAUACAGGUGUGAUAGUGCCUUUAAGAAUAAACAGAAGACGCACGUAGCUGAAAAAUACCACAGAAGUCCGACGACCAAAAAGACUUUAAUGUCAGCAUAUGUUAGGAGAAGGUAUCAAUCUGAUCUGGCUUUUGUUGAACGACAGAAGCUGAAUCUCAGGGAAGGGUAUCACCUGGAUUCAGAUAUUCAGGUGAGAAAAAAGUUAUAUCAGAGGGAGCGGUAUCAACGGGAUCCAGCUUUUCAGGCGAGACAAAAGUUAUAUGUGAGACAGAGGUAUCACAGGGAUCCAGCUUUUCAGGCGAGACAAAAGUUAUAUGUGAGAGAGAGGUAUCACAGGGAUCCAGCUUUUCAGGCGAGACAAAGGUUAUAUCUGAGGGAGCGGUAUCAUCGGGAUCCAGCUUUUCAGGCGAGAUAUAGGGUGUAUCUAAGAGAUAAAUAUCGCAACCAUCCAGGUUUUAAGCAAAGGUGGGCUGUUUUCAUGAAAACAUGGAUGCAGAAGUAUAGAAACAAUCCUUAUUUUCAAAAUAACAAAUAUGUGCGAGAUAGUAAUAGACAUUCUAAUGUAAGGCUACAUGUUCAGCGUUGUGAAAAGAACCGUCUUAACGGGCAGCGUAUUCGGCACAAAUUACAAUGCGCGCUUCAAAUAAAGACUAAAUACAUGACUAGAACUCAACAUUCAGCCAACAAUGUGCAGGAUCCAGCAAGCGCUGUAAUGAAAGCAGCAAUAUCGUCGUUCCGCGAAAGAGUCGCACAUGGGCCCACAUAUGUUUGUACUGUAUGCCAUCGUGCUCUUUUCCUAAAUCAGGUACAGAAAUGCAAUCGAGGAAAAUAUAGCGACAACCAUGACAUAGUGGCCGCCAGCUUGACAGGUAAAUAUGUUCACGUCUGCAACAACAGUUGUUCUGCCCCAUGCACUGCCCCGCAAGAGAGAAAGCAGGAAUGGAUAUGUCACUCCUGUGACUCCCACCUCAGGAGAUGUGCAAUGCCACCUCUGGCAGUUGCAAAUAAGUUGGAUCUGGCACCCAUUCCCCAAGAGCUGUCCGAUUUAAAUGUACUCGAGAGACAGCUGAUAGCAAAAAUUAUACCUUUUGCAAAAAUUGUACGAGCUGUUCAUGGCUCAGUAGUGUGCGUACCGUCGGAAAUGGAAGCAGCAGUGAACUCACUACCUAGGCCACGUAGCGAAGCUCAACUGCUGCAGGUAAAGCUGAAGAGACGCCUUCGGUAUAAAGGACAUCCGCAUUUUUAUACAGUAAAUAUGGCGAAUGUUAUAGCUGGGCUCAGGACGCUGAUACACACUCAUCCACAGUACAGGGAUGUGUGCAUCAAUGAGAGUGCAGCAGCUGAAAGUGUCCUUGAAAGGGAAGAGGAGCCAUCCGCCCUGCCGUCAUCAUCCUUGCAGCAAGAGGCCAGCAAUGCCCAAGUUACGCAGGCACAGCAUGUUGAACGUGAUCAGGAGGAACUUCGGCCGGGCCUCAUGCUCGAUACAUGCAUGCAGCCGCUUGACAUUGCACAGGAAAGUCUUUCAUUUGGGGAUGGGAUAUUCAGCAUUGCUCCUGCCCAACAAAACAAGCCUGUUGGAUUUUUUGCUGUGCCGCAGCUGGAGGCCAUGGCCUUUCCUGUUCUGUUCCCAACGGGAAAGAACACAAUGGAUGAGGAGAGGAUCGUUAAAGUAUCACCGAGUUCUUACUUCAACACCAGAUUGUUUUCAGUUGAUCCACGCUUUGCUGAAGAUCAGUGCUACCUUUUCUUUGCCCAAUUUGUCAUUGAAACGUACAUGGCCAAUAACAGCAUGUCGAUUCAGUCGCGGAAAGGAAAACCUCACACUGCGGAUGGGAGGAAAAUUCUGAACCGGAUGAUCCAGGACAAGGAGGCGUUGGAGCGGCUCAUACAGAACAGGGAAGCGACCAGAUUUAUGCAGCCACUCCGAGGAACACCAGCAUACUGGGAGAAAGCUCACCGGGAGCUCCACGCAAUGGCCAGGCAGUUGGGGAAGCCAACAUUUUUUCUUUCUUCUUUUCUGCGGCGGAAAUGAGAUGGCCUGAAGUCACUGCUGUGAUAAAAGCGCAGCAAGGCCAACAGGAGGGUCACUUUUCAGAUCUGGACUGGAACGCUAAAUGCGAGAUUCUCCGCAGCAAUCCAGUCACGGUCAUGCGCAUGUUUGAGAAAAGGGUAGAUGCUCUCUUAGAGCUUAUUCUGUCUCCUGCGCAGCCCAUCGGCCCAGUCGAGGACUACUUUUAUCGUGUUGAGUUUCAAGCACGAGGAAGUCCUCAUAUACACAUGGUGGUGUGGAUAAAGGACGCACCGGUGAUCGAGGAACCAGAUCCCAUCUACUGUGGCGAAGUGGUCGAAUUCAUCGACCGGUAUAUCACCUGCCACAUCCCCGAUCAAACCAAGGAUCCGGAACUCCAUGAAGUGGUUACGAGUGUUCAAACUCACAGCCGCAGUCACACCAAAUCUUGCCCAUGGAUGUCACCACAAUUACCUUUCCCUUUGAGGACCCGACCAGUGAUGACGAAGAGGAAAACGAUGACCCCAAGAAGAAGAGACGGAAGGAGGAAGACGCCCGUGCCAAAAGGACCAAGUUGGCGAAGAAACAGAGGGAGUCCAAGGAAAAGCUGAAACAGCUAAGAGAGCGUCUUAUGGACACACAGGUUCCGGAGGACUUGACGGACCUGCUCAAUUCGUGCCAGCUGACCCUGGGUCGGUAUAAGCACUAUGUUGAGAACCUCAGCACUGGGAUGGCUGUCCACUUGAAGCGUACACCGCAAGAAAGUUGGACUAAUGCCUACAACCCCCAUCUGCUGCGUGCGUGGAACGCCAACAUGGACAUCCAGUAUAUUCUGGAUGAUAUCAGCUGCAUCAUGUACAUGAUGUCUUACAUCUCCAAGCCGGAGCACGAGAUGACAGAGUUCCUCAAAUCUGUCAUCAAGGACGUGCAAAAGUCUGACGCCAACCAGAAGGAGGAGAUGCAAAAGAUCAUGCAGGCGUAUUCAAAGCACAGAGAGGUAAGUGCUCAGGAAGCAGUGGCACGAACAUGCAGUUUGCCCCUGAAGAAGUCCUCACGCAAUGUGGUGUUCCUCCAAACCGACGAGGACGGUUUCCGAAUGAGUCUGCCCAUGAGUCGGCUUAUGACCAUGCACCCAGAUUCAGCUGAAGUGUGGAUGUCAAGUUUGCCGGAAAAGUACGCCAACAGACCACGUACGCAGGCGUUUGAGUCUAUGUGUCUGGCAGAGUUUGCGUCUGAUUACAGGGUGGUCUACGGUUACGAGAGAGAAGGGCCAAAUGUCAUUCCCCUUUUGAACGACAUGGGUUGCAUUCAGAAGAGGACCAGGGAAAAACCUGCCGUCAUAAGAUACACGCGGUUUUCCAUGACAAAGUUUCCUGAAAAAUAUUUCAGGGCCCUUCUCAAACUCUACUUGCCCCACAGGACGGACCGUGAGUUGACCAGCGACUCCCACCCAACUUAUGAGUCAUUCUACCUGGGCGGAUGGUCAAGGCUAGGUCCUGCAAAGGCCAUCGUUGAUGAGAAAAUGAAGCGGUUUGAGGGCCAAGCGAAGAAACUGGACAAGGCUUUGGAGCGACUCCAACAGGAAGGUCCAGCUGUUAAUGCGUGGAACUCUUGCGCCAGAGGUGGAAGCAGAGCGCCUGGAAUGUCUUGCUGCGCUGAAGGCCAUGAUGCCAAACGCAGCGGACGAGCGGGAUGAGCAGGAUGAUGUUCCUGCCUAUCAGGCUGACCUUUCCGGCGCCCCAGCACUGCCGGCCUUUGAAGCACCCCAGUUGAGUCCGGACUUUGUGAGGAGGAUGUACCGCAGUCUUAACAUCAUGCAGGCUUCCGUCUUCUAUGCCGUACGCGACUGGUGUUUGCAGCGCGUUUCUGAUCGCGACCUUGAGCCCUUUCAUUAUUUCAUCUCAGGGGGAGCUGGAUGUGGCAAGUCACAUGUCAUCAAGUGCAUUUACCAGGAGGCCACCAAGAUUUUUCGGCAGCUUCCUGGCAUUCGUACCGAUGCGGAUUUGUCUCAGCCCACGGUUCUGUUGACGUCAUUUACCGGCACAGCUGCGUUCAACAUUUCUGGGAAAACCUUGCACUCGGUCUUGAAGCUCCCAAGAAGUUUGAGGCCUCCAUAUCAAGGACUCGGCAACGCGCUGGACACCUUGCGGGCGAGUCUUUCCAACGUGCAGAUUUUAAUCAUUGAUGAAAUAUCAAUGGUCUCCAAGGAUCUUUUUGCGUAUGUCCACUGGCGGUUCCAGCAAGUCAAGGGCAACCGGAAGACCUUUGGAGGGAUCUCUGUGCUUGUAGUUGGGGACUUUUACCAGCUGCCACCUCUUGGAAGGGCCAAACCCCUCUGUGUGUAUGAGGAUAAUGUCCUUGACCUCUGGACCAACUUUCAGUUGGUCCGACUUACGGAGAUCAUGCGACAGAAGGAGGACCUGACCUUUGCCCAGCUUUUGAACAGGGUAAGGGAAAAGCGGAAGGAGGAGCCCUUGUAUGAAAGUGACCGGGCUUUACUGCAGCAGGCUACUGUCGAAACAUCGCAGUGUCACACCAGUACGCUCCACAUUUUUGCAACCAAUAAGGAGGUUGACGAACACAACCGUGGCAGCUUUGAAACUGAAUGUGGUCGACAUUCCGGCAGAAAACUACAGAAAAGACCCCCGGACCGGACAAUUGGUCAUCGUGUCCAACAUGAUAACCGGGAGGAAAAGAGAUCUGCCCGACAACCUGCAAGCCGCUGUAGGAGCACGAGUCAUGAUCAUCCGGAACUUGGACAUUGAGGAUGGUCUCGUGAACGGCACCUUCGGGACCAUCAUGAACAUUGUCCGUGGACCACAGGGCGCUGUUACUUUUCUUGGCAUUUCUUUGGACAACCCUGGAGCAGGCCUGAAAUUUCGGAAGAAACUUCAGGGAUCCGGGGACGAUUUGGCCUACAUAGAAAAGUCAGAGGAAAGUUUAAGCAUCAAAGGACUGGUGAGGCGGCAAUUCCCGGCAAAACUGGCCUUUGGAUGCACGGCGCACAAAGUGCAAGGCAUGACGCUAUCUUCUGCGGUCGUAUCUCUGAAGCGCGUGUUUGAACCUGGAAUGGCCUACGUCGCUCUAAGUCGCACGACCUCGCUCCAGGGACUGAAGAUCAUGGACUUGGAUGAGAAGAAAAUAUAUGUUGAUCCCACCAUUGCUUUGGCAAUGGACAGCAUGUUGCACGCUUCUUUCUUGUCUGUCAGACCGCUAUUGCACUUUGCACAAUGGGCUUCUCCGACUUUGAAGAUUGUCCACCAUAACACAGAGGGCCUCGCGUGUCACAUGGAGGACAUCAAAUCUCAUCAUGAGCUGAGACUGGCUGAUGUGCUUUGUUUGACAGAAACCCAUUUGUCUGGUUCCAGCUCGCCACACUUGCAGCUGGAGGACUACGCUGUUUUUGUACGGAACAGACGUGUUUCCUACUUAAACAGGCCAGACAUGGCUGCGAAAGAGGGAGGCGGAGUUGCAGCAUACUGUCGGAGGGAACUUCAAGGCCAGCCCCUUCGGUUUGUCCAGAAUGUGCCAGACCUUGAAUUCUUGGUGGUUAAAGUCAUGGUGCCGAUCACGGCUGUGGUGGCUACUGUUUAUCGACCACCGAACUUGAGUCUGGGCACAUUUCUACCUAAUUUGACAAACCUCUUGGACACCUUGGCAAUGAUGGAAAGCCACCCCAUUGUUGUUUGUGGCGACUUCAACGAGGACCUGCUUUCGAAACGUAAGAAGCCUAUACUGGAGUUGUUUGAGUCCAGAGGCUAUACUCAGCUCAUCGGCAAGGCAACAACUGGCAAGCAGACACUGAUUGAUCACAUUUACAUUUCUCAACCGCAGUCUUGCAUUCAGUCAGGUGUUCUGCAUUCUUACUACAGUUACCACAGUCCGGUGUACUGUAUCUUAACAUCUUUGUAGGCCCUGGUCUGGUCUACACAUGCUGUCUUGUCCCCAAUGAACAUUUGCUUGCAAUGACCAUGUGGCCAUUUCUUCCCCUCCAUCCAUCCACGCCGUCUCACAUACGUAAGUACUCCGUGCUUGUGACCUGAAGGCUAGGUAUGCUGUACCUCUGCUCAUGGGCUGCCUUUCAGAAAUGCUGCUGCACACGCUUUAGCCCCAACCGGAAGAUGUCGCUUUAUUAUAUGUAGUAGAUACAUACUCGAGUCAGAAUUACUGUAUUAUCAUCUCUGAACGGGCAGUGUUGGCAUAGUCAUGUUCUCCCUAUUCCUGAAACUUCAUGUCACUUAUAUGAUGGAACAUUCUAAUAACUUUCUUCUCUCUCUCUCUCUCUCUCUCUCCCCUGUAGGAGGCACUGUUGCAUGAAUAGCCUGUUUGAGGCUGUUAUGUUAUACUCUGUCAUAGCAUUACUUUCAGCUUUUUCAAUUACUGACUUGUUACUAACCUGUCUCUCUUUCUCUCCCCUGUAGUAGGCACUGCUGCAUGAAGACAUGAACGGUUAUCGGUAUCAGCAUUGCUGAUAUGUAGUCAUCGGACCUCUUUUUUUUUCCGCAAUAUAUAAUAUUGAUAAAGUAUAUAGUGUGUUUGGGUGUGUGUGUAUAUACAGUAUGUAUUUAUUUGACUAACUUGUCUCUCUUUCUCUCCCCUGUAGUAGGCACUGCUGCACAAAGAGCUGAGAACAGCAAAGCUCAAAGAUUUGUAUUAGUGGCAGUACAUUUUACGCAAUAUAUAACAUGUAUAAAGUGUAUAUGUAUAUGACAGUUACUGAUAACAUUUGAAUAACUUGUCUCUCUUUCUCUCCCCUGUAGUAGGCACUGCUGCAUGAAAAGCUGAGAAAAGCAGAGCUCAUAGAUUUGUAUUAGUCGCAGUACUUUUCCGCAAUAUGUCACGUGGAGUCUAUAUAUUUGGGAUGCUCGGCAUAUGAGUAUCCCAACUGACUUCCUGUGUGAGGACUAAGCCUAGCAAAACAGAAGGAUGCUAAGGAUAAAAAGCUGAUACAGUGUCAGAUUUGUGAUUUGUGUGUUUUACAGCUACAGAGGAGAACAGGUUCAACUCGCAUUCUGAUACCAACUGCAGGACAUGACAGAAAAGGGAAAAGACAAGCCUUUACAGAAACAUUUCCUGGACGUGUUAAUACUUCAUUCCUGUUGUAAUACUUAGUUACCUACCACAUACAUAUGUUCACUAUGCCUUUUUGUUCUCAAGCGUUUGCACCUUUAUGUAUAAAGACCAUUAUUAUGCAUAAUCAUGCUGUACCAAACAUUUUUCUAUUGUAACCUAAAAAGUCGAGACAGACGGCUGCCCCACUGAGCCUGGGUUCUGUCCAAGGUUUCUUCCCAAGUGGGAGUUUUUCCUUGCCUCCGUUGCCAGGUGCUUGCUCAUGUGGGUUUCUGUUGUUCAUUUAUGACAAACUUGAUAGACCAAACUAAUAAUAAUAAUGUGAACCAAAGUGCCUCGAGAUCACUUGUUUUGUUGUGAGUUGGUGCGAUAUGUCAUUGAACGCUUCUUUAAAUUACUGCUGUUUUUUUUUUCUGAAAUAUUUGAUGUGCCUUGGGCCGCUGACCUAAACUGUUGAGUUACAUACGGGACAUGUUGCCUUGCUACAUUAAGUGUUUGUCAUUGGUUUUAUCUUUCUAUAUUACAGAAUAUUAUACAUCACAAUACUGUUCAUAACUGGUGUAAUUGUUGACAUUUUGACUUCAAGAAUUUAAGGCUUUGUUGCAUCUUGUGGUUCCUUUUUA
Molecule: non-coding RNA, 8604 nt
Organism: Doryrhamphus excisus (bluestripe pipefish)
Lineage: Eukaryota; Metazoa; Chordata; Actinopteri; Syngnathiformes; Syngnathidae
Source: RefSeq, a predicted model, not a curated record